Molecule: ribosomal RNA, 497 nt
Filed under: uncultured bacterium
Lineage: Bacteria
Description: partial 16S ribosomal RNA
Rfam family: Bacterial small subunit ribosomal RNA
Source: RNAcentral
GAUGAACGCUGGCGGCGUGCCUAAUACAUGCGAGUCGAGCGAACAGAUAAGGAGCUUGCUCCUUUGACGUUAGCGGCGGACGGGUGAGUAACACGUGGGUAACCUACCUAUAAGACUGGGAUAACUUCGGGAAACCGGAACUAAUACCGGAUAAUAUUUCGAACCGCAUGGUUCGAUAGUGAAAGAUGGUUUUGCUAUCACUUAUAGAUGGACCCGCGCCGUAUUAGCUAGUUGGUAAGGUAACGGCUUACCAAGGCGACGAUACGUAGCCGACCUGAGAGGGUGAUCGGCCACACUGGAACUGAGACACGGUCCAGACUCCUACGGGAGGCAGCAGUAGGGAAUCUUCCGCAAUGGGCGAAAGCCUGACGGAGCAACGCCGCGUGAGUGAUGAAGGUCUUCGGAUCGUAAAACUCUGUUAUUAGGGAAGAACAUACGUGUAAGUAACUGUGCACGUCUUGACGGUACCUAAUCAGAAAGCCACGGCUAACUACGUG